CCUACGGGCGGCAGCAGUGAGGAAUAUUGGUCAAUGGACGAGAGUCUGAACCAGCCAAGUAGCGUGAAGGAUGACUGCCCUAUGGGUUGUAAACUUCUUUUAUAUGGGAAUAAAAUGUUCCACGUGUGGGAUUUUGUAUGUACCAUAUGAAUAAGGAUCGGCUAACUCCGUGCCAGCAGCCGCGGUAAUACGGAGGAUCCGAGCGUUAUCCGGAUUUAUUGGGUUUAAAGGGAGCGUAGGUGGAUUGUUAAGUCAGUUGUGAAAGUUUGCGGCUCAACCGUAAAAUUGCAGUUGAAACUGGCAGUCUUGAGUACAGUAGAGGUGGGCGGAAUUCGUGGUGUAGCGGUGAAAUGCGUAGAUAUCACGAAGAACUCCGAUUGCGAAGGCAGUUCACUGGACUGCAACUGACACUGAGGCUCGAAAGUGUGGGUAUCAAACAGGAUUAGAUACCCCUGUAGUC
RNAcentral lists this ribosomal RNA (460 nucleotides) under uncultured bacterium. RNAcentral describes it as "partial 16S ribosomal RNA". It matches the Rfam family "Bacterial small subunit ribosomal RNA", at positions 338 to 795 of the family's 1533-position model. The record is from RNAcentral.